GACGAACGCUGGCGGCGUGCUUAACACAUGCAAGUCGAACGGAAAGGCCCUGCUUUUGUGGGGUGCUCUAGUGGCGAACGGGUGAGUAACACGUGAGUAACCUGCCCUUGACUUUGGGAUAACUUCAGGAAACUGGGGCUAAUCCCGGAUAGGAGCUCCUGCUGCAUGGUGGGGGUUGGAAAGUUUCGGCGGUUGGGGAUGGACUCGCGGCUUAUCAGCUUGUUGGUGGGGUAGUGGCUUACCAAGGCUUUGACGGGUAGCCGGCCUGAGAGGGUGACCGGCCACAUUGGGACGGAGAUACGGCCCAGACUCCUACGGGAGGCAGCAGUGGGGAAUAGUGCACAAUGGGCGGAAGCCUGAUGCAGCAACGCCGCGUGCGGGAUGACGGCCUUCGGGUUGUAAACCGCUUUCGCCUGUGACGAAGCGUGAGUGACGGUAAUGGGUAAAGAAGCACCGGCUAACUACGUG
This 468-nucleotide ribosomal RNA is filed under the name uncultured bacterium. Its description in RNAcentral is "partial 16S ribosomal RNA". It matches the Rfam family "Bacterial small subunit ribosomal RNA", at positions 28 to 507 of the family's 1533-position model. The record is from RNAcentral.